UACGUGAGAUUUCAGAGGCUAGACAUACGGGCCUGUCGAGCCCGUGCCCCGGGUUCAAAUCCCGGCCAGGGCGCCA
Molecule: transfer RNA, 76 nt
Filed under: Hadesarchaea archaeon YNP_N21
Lineage: Archaea; Methanobacteriati; Hadarchaeota (SeqCode); Hadarchaeia (SeqCode)
Description: tRNA-Asp
Source: RNAcentral